AGAAUCAACGCUGGCGGCGUGCCUAACACAUGCAAGUCGAACGAGAAAGUGGAGCAAUCCAUGAGUAAAGUGGCGCACGGGUGAGUAACACGUGACUAACCUACCCUUGAGUGGGGGAUAACCUAGAGAAAUCUAGGCUAAUACCGCAUAAUACCUUCGGGUCAAAGGAGCAAUUCGCUUAAGGAGGGGGUCGCGGCCGAUUAGUUAGUUGGCGGGGUAAUGGCCCACCAAGACUAUGAUCGGUAUCCGGCCUGAGAGGGCGCACGGACACACUGGAACUGAAACACGGUCCAGACUCCUACGGGAGGCAGCAGUGGGGAAUUUUGCGCAAUGGGGGAAACCCUGACGCAGCAACGCCGCGUGGAGGAUGAAGUCCCUUGGGACGUAAACUCCUUUCGAUCGGGACGAUAAUGACGGUACCGAGAGAAGAAGCCCCGGCUAACUUCGCGCCAGCAGCCGC
RNAcentral lists this ribosomal RNA (460 nucleotides) under uncultured bacterium. RNAcentral describes it as "SSU rRNA". It matches the Rfam family "Bacterial small subunit ribosomal RNA", at positions 26 to 518 of the family's 1533-position model. The record is from RNAcentral.